GGCGCGAUCGUCUAGAGGCCUAGGACACCAGCCUUUCACGUUGGUUACACGGGUUCGAAUCCCGUUCGCGCUACCA
RNAcentral lists this transfer RNA (76 nucleotides) under Candidatus Sericytochromatia bacterium. RNAcentral's name for it is "tRNA-Glu". It matches the Rfam family "tRNA". Rfam says of the family: Transfer RNA (tRNA) molecules are approximately 80 nucleotides in length. Their secondary structure includes four short double-helical elements and three loops (D, anti-codon, and T loops). Lineage: Bacteria; Bacillati; Candidatus Sericytochromatia. The record is from RNAcentral.